This 253-nucleotide ribosomal RNA is filed under the name uncultured bacterium. RNAcentral describes it as "partial 16S ribosomal RNA". It matches the Rfam family "Bacterial small subunit ribosomal RNA", at positions 524 to 776 of the family's 1533-position model. The record is from RNAcentral.
UACGGAGGAUCCGAGCGUUAUCCGGAUUUAUUGGGUUUAAAGGGAGCGUAGGCGGGUUGUUAAGUCAGUUGUGAAAGUUUGCGGCUCAACCGUAAAAUUGCAGUUGAUACUGGCAUCCUUGAGUACAGUAGAGGUAGGCGGAAUUCGUGGUGUAGCGGUGAAAUGCUUAGAUAUCACGAAGAACUCCGAUUGCGAAGGCAGCCUGCUGGACUGUAACUGACGCUGAUGCUCGAAAGUGUGGGUAUCAAACGGG